This 321-nucleotide ribosomal RNA is filed under the name Enterococcus faecalis. RNAcentral's name for it is "bacterial SSU rRNA". It matches the Rfam family "Bacterial small subunit ribosomal RNA", at positions 1 to 300 of the family's 1533-position model. Lineage: Bacteria; Bacillati; Bacillota; Bacilli; Lactobacillales; Enterococcaceae. The record is from RNAcentral.
UAUUAUGAGAGUUUGAUCCUGGCUCAGGACGAACGCUGGCGGCGUGCCUAAUACAUGCAAGUCGAACGCUUCUUUCCUCCCGAGUGCUUGCACUCAAUUGGAAAGAGGAGUGGCGGACGGGUGAGUAACACGUGGGUAACCUACCCAUCAGAGGGGGAUAACACUUGGAAACAGGUGCUAAUACCGCAUAACAGUUUAUGCCGCAUGGCAUAAGAGUGAAAGGCGCUUUCGGGUGUCGCUGAUGGAUGGACCCGCGGUGCAUUAGCUAGUUGGUGAGGUAACGGCUCACCAAGGCCACGAUGCAUAGCCGACCUGAGAGGG